This 691-nucleotide ribosomal RNA is filed under the name uncultured Bacteroidota bacterium. Its description in RNAcentral is "bacterial SSU rRNA". It matches the Rfam family "Bacterial small subunit ribosomal RNA", at positions 222 to 916 of the family's 1533-position model. Lineage: Bacteria; Pseudomonadati; Bacteroidota. The record is from RNAcentral.
AAGCUGGACAUGCGUCUGAUUAGUUAGUUGGCGGGGUAAUGGCUCACCAAGACGAUGAUCAGUAGGGGUUCUGAGAGGAAGGUCCCCCACACUGGUACUGAGAUACGGACCAGACUCCUACGGGAGGCAGCAGUAGGGAAUAUUGGGCAAUGGAAGGAAUUCUGACCCAGCCAUGCCGCGUGCAGGAUGAAGGCGCUAAGCGUUGUAAACUGCUUUUAUCAGGGAAGAAAAAGCGGGUGCGCCCGAAAUUGACGGUACCUGGUGAAUAAGCAUCGGCUAACUCCGUGCCAGCAGCCGCGGUAAUACGGGGGAUGCGAGCGUUGUCCGGAUUUAUUGGGUUUAAAGGGUGCGUAGGUGGUUUUAUAAGUCAGUGGUUAAAUUAAGCAGCUCAACUGUUUACAUGCCAUUGAUACUGUGAGACUUGAGACUUGAGGGGGUAAGCGGAAUUGGUAGUGUAGCGGUGAAAUGCAUAGAUACUACCAGGAAUAUCGAUAGCGAAGGCAGCUUACUACACAAGGACUGACACUGAGGCACGAAAGCGUGGGGAUCAAACAGGAUUAGAUACCCUGGUAGUCCACGCCGUAAACGAUGAUAACUCGUUGUUGAUGUUCGCAUCAGUGACUAAGGGAAACCGAUAAGUUAUCCACCUGGGGAGUACGGUCGCAAGACUGAAACUUAAAUGAAUUGACGG